UACGGGGGGGGCAAGCGUUGUUCGGAAUUACUGGGCGUAAAGGGCUCGUAGGCGGCCAACUAAGUCGGACGUGAAAUCCCCAGGCUCAACCUGGGAACUGCGUCCGAUACUGGAUGGCUUGAAUCCGGGAGAGGGAUGCAGAAUUCCAGGUGUAGCGGUGAAAUGCGUAGAUAUCAUCAGGAAUACCGGAGGCGAAGGCGGCUCACUGGGGGUUAUCUGACGCUGAGGAACGAAAGCCAGGGGAGCAAACGGG
Molecule: ribosomal RNA, 253 nt
Filed under: uncultured bacterium
Lineage: Bacteria
Description: partial 16S ribosomal RNA
Rfam family: Bacterial small subunit ribosomal RNA
Source: RNAcentral